RNAcentral lists this ribosomal RNA (165 nucleotides) under uncultured bacterium. RNAcentral describes it as "partial 16S rRNA". It matches the Rfam family "Bacterial small subunit ribosomal RNA", at positions 355 to 511 of the family's 1533-position model. The record is from RNAcentral.
UAGGGAAUCUUCGGCAAUGGACGAAAGUCUGACCGAGCAACGCCGCGUGAGUGAAGAAGGUUUUCGGAUCGUAAAACUCUGUUGGUAGAGAAGAACGUUGGUGAGAGUGGAAAGCUCAUCAAGUGACGGUAACUGCCCAGAAAGGGACGGCUAACUACGUACCAG